RNAcentral lists this ribosomal RNA (599 nucleotides) under bacterium enrichment culture clone T47x__H1_T3_E11. Its description in RNAcentral is "bacterial SSU rRNA". It matches the Rfam family "Bacterial small subunit ribosomal RNA", at positions 926 to 1509 of the family's 1533-position model. The record is from RNAcentral.
CAAGCGGUGGAGCAUGUGGUUAAAUUCGAUGCAACGCGAAGAACCUUACCAGGGCUUGACAUGCCCGCGACCCCACAAGGGUCGUGCUCUUCCAAGAAAAGGGAAGAAGUUUUUUUUAAACGGACACAGGUGGUGCAUGGCUGUCGUCAGCUCGUGUCGUGAGACGUUGGGUUAAGUCCCGCAACGAGCGCAACCCUCGUGGGAAGUUGCCUAUUUUUAAUAGUGCUCUCUACUCAGACUGCCGGUGACAAGCCGGAGGAAGGUGAGGAUGACGUCAAGUCAGCAUGCCCCUUACGCCCUGGGCUACACACGUGCUACAAUGGCCGGGACAAUAGGAUGCUACCCCGCAAGGAUAAGCUAAGCCCCAAACCCGGUCUCAGUUCGGAUUGUAGGCUGCAACUCGCCUGCAUGAAGGAGGAAUCGCUAGUAAUCGCCGGUCAGCCACACGGUGGUGAAUACGUUCCCGGGCCUUGUACACACCGCCCGUCACACUAGGGGAGCUGGCUCUGCUCUAAGUCGUGACUCUAACCGUGAGGAGGAGAACGCCAAAAGCAGGGCUCGUGACUCGAGUGAAGUCGUAACAAGGUAGCGGUACUGGA